UACGGGGGGGGUAAGCGUUGUUCGGAAUCACUGGGCGUAAAGGGCGUGUAGGCGGUCAAGUAAGUGGAAUGUGAAAUCCCCCGGCUUACCCGGGGACCUGCAUCCCAAACUGCUUGGCUUGAGUACGGGAGAGGAUGAGGGAAUUCCUGGUGUAGCGGUGAAAUGCGUAGAUAUCAGGAAGAACACCAGUGGCGAAGGCGCUCUGCUAGGCCGUAACUGACACUGAGGGACGAAAGCUAGGGGAGCGAAUGGG
RNAcentral lists this ribosomal RNA (253 nucleotides) under uncultured bacterium. RNAcentral's name for it is "partial 16S ribosomal RNA". It matches the Rfam family "Bacterial small subunit ribosomal RNA", at positions 524 to 776 of the family's 1533-position model. The record is from RNAcentral.